CGGUGGAGCAUGUGGUUUAAUUCGAAGCAACGCGAAGAACCUUACCAGGCCUUGACAUGCAGAGAACUUUCCAGAGAUGGAUUGGUGCCUUCGGGAACUCUGACACAGGUGCUGCAUGGCUGUCGCCAGCUCGUGUUGUGAGAUGUUGGGUUAAGUCCCGUAACGAGCGCAACCCUUGUCCUUAGUUACCAGCACGUUAUGGUGGGCACUCUAAGGAGACUGCCGGUGACAAACCGGAGGAAGGUGGGGAUGACGUCAAGUCAUCAUGGCCCUUACGGCCUGGGCUACACACGUGCUACAAUGGUCGGUACAAAGGGUUGCCAAGCCGCGAGGUGGAGCUAAUCCCAUAAAACCGAUCGUAGUCCGGAUCGCAGUCUGCAACUCGACUGCGUGAAGUCGGAAUCGCUAGUAAUCGUGAAUCAGAAUGUCACGGUGAAUACGUUCCCGGGCCUU
RNAcentral lists this ribosomal RNA (453 nucleotides) under uncultured Pseudomonas sp. Its description in RNAcentral is "bacterial SSU rRNA". It matches the Rfam family "Bacterial small subunit ribosomal RNA", at positions 930 to 1382 of the family's 1533-position model. The record is from RNAcentral. Lineage: Bacteria; Pseudomonadati; Pseudomonadota; Gammaproteobacteria; Pseudomonadales; Pseudomonadaceae.